AUGUUGGAGAAAGACAGGAUAUCCUAUUUCUACGAUGGGGAUGUUGGCAAUGUGUACUUUGGGCCAAAUCACCCGAUGAAACCGCAUCGCCUUUGCAUGACACACCAUCUCGUGUUAUCAUAUGAUCUUCACAAGAAAAUGGAGAUAUAUAGACCCCACAAAGCAUAUCCAACAGAGCUUGCGCAGUUCCAUUCUGCUGAUUAUGUGGAAUUCUUGCACCGAAUAACUCCUGAUACCCAGCACUUGUAUGCAAGUGAAUUAACUAGAUACAACCUUGGAGAGGACUGCCCGGUCUUUGAUGAUUUGUUUGAGUUCUGCCAAAUCUAUGCUGGAGGAACUCUAGAUGCGGCUCGAAGACUAAAUCAUAAAACAUGUGAUAUUGCUAUUAAUUGGGCUGGUGGGCUGCAUCAUGCAAAGAAGUGUGAGGCGUCAGGCUUCUGCUACAUUAAUGACCUGGUUUUGGGAAUUCUGGAGCUUCUCAAGUAUCAUGCUAGGGUUCUCUAUAUUGACAUUGAUGUCCAUCAUGGAGAUGGAGUUGAAGAAGCCUUCUAUUUCACUGACAGGGUAAUGACUGUAAGUUUCCACAAGUAUGGUGACAUGUUCUUUCCUGGCACAGGUGAUAUUAAGGAUAUAGGAGACAGGGAAGGAAGAUAUUAUGCAAUCAACAUCCCACUUAAAGAUGGCAUAGAUGACAGCAGCUUUACUCGCCUUUUUAAAACGAUUAUUGCCAAAGUUGUUGAGACAUAUCUGCCAGGUGCUAUUGUUCUUCAAUGUGGGGCUGAUUCAUUGGCGCGAGACCGCCUAGGGUGUUUCAAUCUUUCAAUAGAAGGCCAUGCUGAAUGUGUAAAGUUUGUUAAGAAAUUUAAAAUCCCGCUGCUGGUGACAGGAGGUGGUGGGUACACCAAAGAGAAUGUAGCACGCUGUUGGGCUGUUGAAACUGGGGUUCUUCUAGACACAGAACUCCCAAAUGAGAUCCCUGACAAUGAAUACAUUGAAUACUUCGGUCCAGAUUAUACAUUGAAAGUACCAAAUCUGAACAUGGACAACUUGAAUAGUAAGACGUAUCUCAGUUCAAUCAAAGUGCAAGUAAUGGAGAGUUUGCGGGCCAUACAACAUGCACCUGGCGUUCAGAUGCAAGAGGUUCCACCCGAUUUCUAUGUCCCGGAUUUUGAUGAAGACGAGCUGGAUCCUGAUGAACGUGUUGAUCAGCAUACCCAAGACAAGCAGGUUCAUCGUGACGACGAGUACUAUGAAGGCGACAACGACAAUGAUCACGAUGACGGCGGACAUUGA
Molecule: ribosomal RNA, 1293 nt
Filed under: Triticum aestivum (bread wheat)
Lineage: Eukaryota; Viridiplantae; Streptophyta; Magnoliopsida; Poales; Poaceae
Description: partial small subunit ribosomal RNA
Source: RNAcentral